AUACGGAGGGUCCGAGCGUUAAUCGGAAUUACUGGGCGUAAAGCGCGCGUAGGUGGAUGUAUAAGUCAGAUGUGAAAGCCCUGGGCUCAACCUAGGAACUGCAUUUGAAACUGUACGUCUAGAGUAUGGUAGAGGUGAGUGGAAUUUCAGGUGUAGCGGUGAAAUGCGUAGAGAUCUGAAGGAACAUCAGUGGCGAAGGCGACUCACUGGGCCAUUACUGACACUGAGGUGCGAAAGCGUGGGUAGCAAACAGGAUUAGAUACCCCAGUAGUCC
This 274-nucleotide ribosomal RNA is filed under the name uncultured bacterium. RNAcentral describes it as "partial 16S ribosomal RNA". It matches the Rfam family "Bacterial small subunit ribosomal RNA", at positions 523 to 796 of the family's 1533-position model. The record is from RNAcentral.